RNAcentral lists this ribosomal RNA (492 nucleotides) under uncultured bacterium. RNAcentral's name for it is "partial 16S ribosomal RNA". It matches the Rfam family "Bacterial small subunit ribosomal RNA", at positions 29 to 507 of the family's 1533-position model. The record is from RNAcentral.
AGUGAACGCUGGCGGUAGGCCUAACACAUGCAAGUCGAACGGCAGCACAGUAAGAGCUUGCUCUUACGGGUGGCGAGUGGCGGACGGGUGAGGAAUACAUCGGAAUCUACUUUUUCGUGGGGGAUAACGUAGGGAAACUUACGCUAAUACCGCAUACGACCUACGGGUGAAAGCAGGGGAUCUUCGGACCUUGCGCGACUGAAUGAGCCGAUGUCGGAUUAGCUAGUUGGCGGGGUAAAGGCCCACCAAGGCGACGAUCCGUAGCUGGUCUGAGAGGAUGAUCAGCCACACUGGAACUGAGACACGGUCCAGACUCCUACGGGAGGCAGCAGUGGGGAAUAUUGGACAAUGGGCGCAAGCCUGAUCCAGCCAUGCCGCGUGGGUGAAGAAGACCUUCGGGUUGUAAAGCCCUUUUGUUGGGGAAGAAAAGCAGCAGGUUAAUACCCCGCUGUUCUGACGGUACCCAAAGAAUAAGCACCGGCUAACUUCGUG